This 468-nucleotide ribosomal RNA is filed under the name uncultured bacterium. RNAcentral describes it as "partial 16S ribosomal RNA". It matches the Rfam family "Bacterial small subunit ribosomal RNA", at positions 28 to 507 of the family's 1533-position model. The record is from RNAcentral.
GACGAACGCUGGCGGCGUGCUUAACACAUGCAAGUCGAACGGAAAGGCCCUGCUUUUGUGGGGUGCUCGAGUGGCGAACGGGUGAGUAACACGUGAGUAACCUGCCCUUGACUUUGGGGUAACUUCAGGAAACUGGGGCUAAUACCGGAUAGGAGCUCCUGCUGCAUGGUGGGGGUUGGAAAGUUUCGGCGGUUGGGGAUGGACUCGCGGCUUAUCGGCUUGUUGGUGGGGUAGUGGCUUACCAAGGCUUUGACGGGUAGCCGGCCUGAGAGGGUGACCGGCCACAUUGGGACUGAGAUACGGCCCAGACUGCUACGGGAGGCAGCAGUGGGGAAUAUUGCACAAUGGGCGGAAGCCUGAUGCAGCAACGCCGCGUGCGGGAUGACGGCCUUCGGGUUGUAAACCGCUUUCGCCUGUGACGAAGCGUGAGUGACGGUAAUGGGUAAAGAAGCCCCGGCUAACUACGUG